UGUAGUCAUAUGCUUGUCUCAAAGAUUAAGCCAUGCAUGUCUCAGUGCAAGCCGAAUUAAGGUGAAACCGCGAAAGGCUCAUUAAAUCAGCUAUAAUUUAAUUGGUGGUACAACAAUUGUUACUUGGAUAACUGUGGCAAUUCUAGAGCUAAUACAUGCAAAACGAGUUCCGACCGCGCUCCCGCGAGGGUGCGCGGGACGAAUGCUUUUAUUAGAACAAAACCAAUCGGAUCUCGUAGUGCGUCAGGCGCGGUUGACUCCGCGUCGCGCCGCGAGCAGUCCGCAAACUCUUGACGACUCUGAAUAACUUUAAGCUGAUCGCACGGUCACGCACCGGCGACGCAUCUUUCAAAUGUCUGACUUAUCAACUUUCGAUGGUAGGCUACGCGCCUACCAUGGUGAUAACGGGUGACGGGGAAUCAGGGUUCGAUUCCGGAGAGGGAGCCUGAGAAACGGCUACCACAUCCAAGGAAGGCAGCAGGCGCGCAAAUUACCCACUCCCGGCACGGGGAGGUAGUGACGAAAAAUAACGAUGCAGGACUCUUUCCGAGGCUCUGCAAUCGGAAUGAGCACACUCUAAAUCAUUUAACGAGUAUCCAUUGGAGGGCAAGUCUGGUG
This 618-nucleotide ribosomal RNA is filed under the name Fahrenholzia pinnata. RNAcentral describes it as "bacterial SSU rRNA". It matches the Rfam family "Eukaryotic small subunit ribosomal RNA", at positions 21 to 566 of the family's 1831-position model. The record is from RNAcentral. Lineage: Eukaryota; Metazoa; Arthropoda; Insecta; Psocodea; Polyplacidae.